ACCGAGAGGGGGUCAAGGCUCCUUCUACCGCUCCAAGACUUUUCCUUGGUCAUUCCUGGUGGCUUCGCGGGAGGGACAAGGAAAUACCAACUUUCCGCAUGCCUGAGAUGUCACCCCAAAUACAGUUAGCCGAGGGGUGGCUCUCGGCCUGUGCCCAGUACACCUCCAUACACUAGGAUCUGCAGACACCCGGGAGAUGCUGAUGAUCUUUUAGCUACUCGCUCCCACCAAGGCGCUCUAGGCUGGGGACCCCUUGGGAAGCUCCGAGAACGAUCCUUCUCUGCGAACGUAGGACUCCCGAGAAGGCAGAAGAGGAGAAGGGACCCCGCGCAGACCGAGACCCGCCGCUGGGAGUCGGAUGAGGCGAGCUGAUAGAGUGGGGUGUGUAGACCCGCUGUGGGUCCCAAGGACCAGAGGACUGAAGGUUGGCAGAUGACAGAAAUUCCUCCUGCACGCGAUUAGAGACCAUUCUUUCUUUGU
Molecule: long non-coding RNA, 480 nt
Organism: Mesocricetus auratus (golden hamster)
Lineage: Eukaryota; Metazoa; Chordata; Mammalia; Rodentia; Cricetidae
Exons: 2
Source: RefSeq, a predicted model, not a curated record